Prunus avium (sweet cherry) is the source of this 372-nucleotide non-coding RNA. NCBI's taxonomy places the organism in Eukaryota, Viridiplantae, Streptophyta, Magnoliopsida, Rosales, Rosaceae. The record is from RefSeq and is a predicted model, not a curated record.
GCCUACAUUAUUCAUUAAACUUCUAGUGGUGUACUGCUGAUUACGAUUUGGGUUCCAUUUUCAUAAAAUAAGUUGCUGGAUAAUUAGACUUGGUUGACAUGAUAUUCUGAUCCUAAGGAUAUUAUAUAUAUAUGCCUUUGAAAUUCAUGGCUUAGGAUCUAUGGAGUUCACCAUAUGACUCUUGGGACCCACGGGAUUCACCAGAUCAUCAAGUUGCACCUGGGAGCACUUAUCGUGCAGAAUCUGGAUGGGAGUGCGACUUCUACUUUGUUUGUGGUUGUGGUAUAAUAUUUCUUUCUAUUUCAUUGGUCUUUUCUUAUGGUUAUAGAUCUGAUAGAAGAAGAUGCAAUAAAUGAGAAAUGUUGCAUACAA